This 1346-nucleotide ribosomal RNA is filed under the name uncultured bacterium. Its description in RNAcentral is "bacterial SSU rRNA". It matches the Rfam family "Bacterial small subunit ribosomal RNA", at positions 28 to 1381 of the family's 1533-position model. The record is from RNAcentral.
GACGAACGCUGGCGGCGUGCUUAACACAUGCAAGUCGAACGGAAAGGCCCUGCUUUUGUGGGGUGCUCGAGUGGCGAACGGGUGAGUAACACGUGAGUAACCUGCCCUUGACUUUGGGAUAACUUCAGGAAACUGGGGCUAAUACCGGAUAGGAGCUCCUGCUGCAUGGUGGGGGUUGGAAAGUUUCGGCGGUUGGGGAUGGACUCGCGGCUUAUCAGCUUGUUGGUGGGGUAGUGGCUUACCAAGGCUUUGACGGGUAGCCGGCCUGAGAGGGUGACCGGCCACAUUGGGACUGAGAUACGGCCCAGACUCCUACGGGAGGCAGCAGUGGGGAAUAUUGCACAAUGGGCGGAAGCCUGAUGCAGCAACGCCGCGUGCGGGAUGACGGCCUUCGGGUUGUAAACCGCUUUCGCCUGUGACGAAGCGUGAGUGACGGUAAUGGGUAAAGAAGCACCGGCUAACUACGUGCCAGCAGCCGCGGUGAUACGUAGGGUGCGAGCGUUGUCCGGAUUUAUUGGGCGUAAAGGGCUCGUAGGUGGUUGAUCGCGUCGGAAGUGCAAUCUUGGGGCUUAACCCUGAGCGUGCUUUCGAUACGGGUUGACUUGAGGAAGGUAGGGGAGAAUGGAAUUCCUGGUGGAGCGGUGGAAUGCGCAGAUAUCAGGAGGAACACCAGUGGCGAAGGCGGUUCUCUGGGCCUUUCCUGACGCUGAGGAGCGAAAGCGUGGGGAGCGAACAGGCUUAGAUACCCUGGUAGUCCACGCUGUAAACGGUGGGUACUAGGUGUGGGGUCCAUUCCACGGGUUCCGUGCCGUAGCUAACGCUUUAAGUACCCCGCCUGGGGAGUACGGCCGCAAGGCUAAAACUCAAAGGAAUUGACGGGGCCCCGCACAAGCGGCGGAGCAUGCGGAUUAAUUCGAUGCAACGCGUAGAACCUUACCUGGGUUUGACAUGGAUCGGGAGCGCUCAGAGAUGGGUGUGCCUCUUUUGGGGUCGGUUCACAGGUGGUGCAUGGCUGUCGUCAGCUCGUGUCGUGAGAUGUUGGGUUAAGUCCCGCAACGAGCGCAACCCUUGUUCACUGUUGCCAGCACGUUAUGGUGGGGACUCAGUGGAGACCGCCGGGGUCAACUCGGAGGAAGGUGGGGAUGACGUCAAGUCAUCAUGCCCCUUAUGUCCAGGGCUUCACGCAUGCUACAAUGGCUGGUACAGAGAGUGGCGAGCCUGUGAGGGUGAGCGAAUCUCGGAAAGCCGGUCUCAGUUCGGAUUGGGGUCUGCAACUCGACCUCAUGAAGUCGGAGUCGCUAGUAAUCGCAGAUCAGCAACGCUGCGGUGAAUACGUUCCCGGGGCU